RNAcentral lists this transfer RNA (136 nucleotides) under Caudoviricetes sp. RNAcentral describes it as "tRNA-Ala". It matches the Rfam family "tRNA". Rfam says of the family: Transfer RNA (tRNA) molecules are approximately 80 nucleotides in length. The record is from RNAcentral. Lineage: Duplodnaviria; Heunggongvirae; Uroviricota; Caudoviricetes. RNAcentral also lists the same sequence under 2 other names.
GCCGUUGUAGCUCAACGCAGAGCGCCGCUUUUGCAGGCGGGUCAACAUUGAUGAUACAUUCCAUGACAGGCAACUGCGACCAAUCACCGCAGCGGGCUGGCGCGGAAUGGUGCCGGUUCGAAUCCGGCCAACGGCU